This 441-nucleotide ribosomal RNA is filed under the name uncultured bacterium. Its description in RNAcentral is "partial 16S ribosomal RNA". It matches the Rfam family "Bacterial small subunit ribosomal RNA", at positions 338 to 795 of the family's 1533-position model. The record is from RNAcentral.
CCUACGGGUGGCAGCAGUGGGGGAUAUUGCACAAUGGGGGAAACCCUGAUGCAGCGACGCCGCGUGGGUGAAGAAGUAUUUCGGUAUGUAAAGCCCUAUCAGCAGGGAAGAAAGAAGACGGUACCUGACUAAGAAGCCCCGGCUAACUACGUGCCAGCAGCCGCGGUAAUACGUAGGGGGCGAGCGUUAUCCGGAUUCACUGGGUGUAAAGGGAGCGUAGACGGCCGUGCAAGCCAGGAGUGAAAGCCCGGGGCCCAACCCCGGGACUGCUCUUGGAACUGUGCGGCUGGAGUGCGGGAGGGGCAGGCGGAAGUCCUGGUGUAGCGGGGAAAUGCGUAGAUAUCAGGAGGAACACCGGCGGCGAAGGCGGCCUGCUGGACCGCGACUGACGUUGAGGCUCGAAAGCGUGGGGAGCGAACAGGAUUAGAUACCCGGGUAGUC